Molecule: non-coding RNA, 104 nt
Organism: Gallus gallus (chicken)
Lineage: Eukaryota; Metazoa; Chordata; Aves; Galliformes; Phasianidae
Source: Rfam
GUGCUCACUUCAGCAACAUGUAUACUAAAAUUGGAACAAUGCAGAGAUUUCCAUGGCCCCUGUGCUAGAAUGACACACAAAUCUAUAAGUAGCUUCAUAUUUUU